RNAcentral lists this long non-coding RNA (1942 nucleotides) under Manihot esculenta (cassava). Its description in RNAcentral is "long non-coding RNA (MESC_LNC012427)". The record is from RNAcentral. Lineage: Eukaryota; Viridiplantae; Streptophyta; Magnoliopsida; Malpighiales; Euphorbiaceae.
GUUUGGGACCCCUUUGUGCAUAUACCAGAGUAUAUGUGAGUGGAGACGCUGAGUUAUGCAUGUUAGAGUGUGUUGGAGACGUUGUGCAUGAGAGGAAGCAAGGUUCUGCCUUCUGGAGAACCCAGCUUCGGCCGCCGAAGUGAAGAUUCGGCCGCCAAACCUCUUGUGGAGUGGAGUUGCUUGACAGGUUUGUUUAUGCACGAAGCUGAGUUCUGGAUAAACUCAGGUUCGGCCGCCGAAGGGAGGAUUCGGCCGCCGAACCCCUUGUGGAGGUAGUUUCGGCUGCCUAAGGUUGCCUCCGAAAGAAUGGACUUUCGGAUCUGUCAUGCACAUUCGGCCGCCGAAGGUGCCGCCGAACAUGCAUGAGUUUCGGCUCUGGAGAGGACAUUCGGCCGCCGAACCUGCUGCCGAAUGUGUUCUGUCCAGCCUUCUUUUGCAUGCGUUAUGUGAUUAUUUUCAGAGGUUUAGAGGGGAUUAUGGGGAUUUGUUUAAGAGUUAUUCAAAGUAUGUGUGACACCUCAUUCGAGUCCAUUUGUGUAGGAUUGGACCCGAGAGUUCGAGGAGGUCAUCAGAGUUAGAGAUAUCAGAGUCAGUACAAUAUCUGCCAGAAGAGCAGAGGUGAGUGGAACUAAACUGAAUAUUUUAUUUUGAGAAAUGACACGAGUCUAGCAUGAUCCAUGCAUCAUAAAAUGCCAUGUUAUGUAAUAGGUUGUAUUGCAUUAGAAUCCACGAAUUUGAUGCAUUGCAUAAAUUGUUGUUGUGGUGUGGAUGAACGUUGGGUGAUCCUUAGCCCUUGACAUGAGAUAAGAUACUACUACAGAGAUAUGGCAUGAGAUAGCCAUUCCAGGUCGCUCCUGGAUAGUCCAGGUCGCUCCUGGUACUCAGUUACAGAUAGACAUACAGCAUAAGAGAAGACUGGGUGAUGGCUCCGCCUCCCUAGCAUUAUUGGAUUUGUUGUGAUAUGAUACAGUACAGAGAAGACUGGGUGAUGGUUCUACCUCCCUAGCACAGUUGGGCAGAAAAGUCUAGGUGAUGGCUCUGCCUCCCUAGCAAGUAGGGUAUUUGUUUAUAGUAGGGGGCUAUAGGUGACAAGUUCAUCCGUUUGAUGAUUUGUUUGUGAGGUGACGCAUUUCAUGAUAACAUGUAAUUAAUGAACUGUUUUACUGUUCCUCCUCACUGGGCUAUAGAGCUCAUCCCUCUCCCUUAACCCCAGUUUUGCAGGUUCUGAGAUAGCUAUGGGAAGUCAAAGUCAGCAAGAGUACAGAGGAAAGUUAUGCAUGAAUGUAUGUUUGUAAUAGCAUAGUGGACAUGAUGUAAUUAAAAGAUUAGUUGUACUGUAAUGUAUAGAUAUGUACUGUCAUAUGCUGGAUAGACUUAUGCUUUCCCUAGUGUCAUUGCUACAGUGUGAUGUAUGAUUAAUCCCUUGUACAUGAAUCCUGUUUUACGUUUCUUGAUGAGAAAUGUGUGAGUUAGGCUUAAUGCAUGGCUUGGAUGAGAUACCAGUGGGAUGUGUUACAGAUUAAAAAGGGUUUCAAUCCCUUGAGCCACAGCAAAUGGUAGUCCCUGGUAUAGGCCCUGAGGGCCAUUUCAGAUUGACAUAUCUGAGUAGCAGUAGUUAAGCCUACAUAGUUUUUCCAGGAUUGUUGAGUCGUUCUGUAUCAUGUAUGGGAUUUAUCAGGUACACAGCAAGUAAAGUUGGCUAACUACGGGUCCCGGCGGCCUUAAGCCGAUCUGGAUCCUAGUGCCAGUGAUGGUUCGGACCGUUACUGAGGGGUACCGGUUUCCGGGUCGUUACAGAUUGGUAUCAGAGCAUAGGGCCUCAAGAGUACGGUGUGUUGAGCAUCUUUGCUCAAGGAUUAGAGAUAUCCCACAUCGGAAAGAGGUGUUGUCUUGUAUAGGAGGGGAAGCACAAUAGGUAAAAUCAUGUCCACUAGGAUAGGAU